RNAcentral lists this ribosomal RNA (465 nucleotides) under uncultured bacterium. RNAcentral's name for it is "partial 16S ribosomal RNA". It matches the Rfam family "Bacterial small subunit ribosomal RNA", at positions 28 to 507 of the family's 1533-position model. The record is from RNAcentral.
GACGAACGCUGGCGGCACGCUUAACACAUGCAAGUCGAACGAGAGAAGAGAAGCUUGCUUUUCUGAUCUAGUGGCGGACGGGUGAGUAACACGUGAGCAAUCUGCCUUUCAGAGGGGGAUACCGAUUGGAAACGAUCGUUAAUACCGCAUAACAUAAUUGAACCGCAUGAUUUGAUUAUCAAAGAUUUAUCGCUGAAAGAUGAGCUCGCGUCUGAUUAGCUAGUUGGUAAGGUAACGGCUUACCAAGGCGACGAUCAGUAGCCGGACUGAGAGGUUGAUCGGACAGAUUGGGACUGAGACACGGCCCAGACUCCUACGGGAGGCAGCAGUGGGGAAUAUUGCACAAUGGAGGAAACUCUGAUGCAGCGAUGCCGCGUGAGGGAAGAAGGUUUUAGGAUUGUAAACCUCUGUCUUCAGGGACGAAAAAAGACGGUACCUGAGGAGGAAGCUCCGGCUAACUACGUG